This 924-nucleotide ribosomal RNA is filed under the name Salmonella enterica subsp. enterica. RNAcentral's name for it is "bacterial LSU rRNA". It matches the Rfam family "Bacterial large subunit ribosomal RNA", at positions 454 to 1376 of the family's 2925-position model. The record is from RNAcentral. Lineage: Bacteria; Pseudomonadati; Pseudomonadota; Gammaproteobacteria; Enterobacterales; Enterobacteriaceae.
CAUCCUCCAAGGCUAAAUACUCCUGACUGACCGAUAGUGAACCAGUACCGUGAGGGAAAGGCGAAAAGAACCCCGGCGAGGGGAGUGAAAAAGAACCUGAAACCGUGUACGUACAAGCAGUGGGAGCACAGGUUUACCUGUGUGACUGCGUACCUUUUGUAUAAUGGGUCAGCGACUUAUAUUCUGUAGCAAGGUUAACCGAAUAGGGGAGCCGGAGGGAAACCGAGUCUUAAUUGGGCGUUAAGUUGCAGGGUAUAGACCCGAAACCCGGUGAUCUAGCCAUGGGCAGGUUGAAGGUUGGGUAACACUAACUGGAGGACCGAACCGACUAAUGUUGAAAAAUUAGCGGAUGACCUGUGGCUGGGGGUGAAAGGCCAAUCAAACCGGGAGAUAGCUGGUUCUCCCCGAAAGCUAUUUAGGUAGCGCCUCGUGAAUUCAUCUCCGGGGGUAGAGCACUGUUUCGGCUAGGGGGCCAUCCCGGCUUACCAACCCGAUGCAAACUGCGAAUACCGGAGAAUGUUAUCACGGGAGACACACGGCGGGUGCUAACGUCCGUCGUGAAGAGGGAAACAACCCAGACCGCCAGCUAAGGUCCCAAAGUCAUGGUUAAGUGGGAAACGAUGUGGGAAGGCCCAGACAGCCAGGAUGUUGGCUUAGAAGCAGCCAUCAUUUAAAGAAAGCGUAAUAGCUCACUGGUCGAGUCGGCCUGCGCGGAAGAUGUAACGGGGCUAAACCAUGCACCGAAGCUGCGGCAGCGACACUGUGUGUUGUUGGGUAGGGGAGCGUUCUGUAAGCCUGUGAAGGUGUGUCGUGAGGCAUGCUGGAGGUAUCAGAAGUGCGAAUGCUGACAUAAGUAACGAUAAAGCGGGUGAAAAGCCCGCUCGCCGGAAGACCAAGGGUUCCUGUCCAACGUUAAUCGGGGCA